Molecule: ribosomal RNA, 301 nt
Filed under: uncultured bacterium
Lineage: Bacteria
Description: partial 16S ribosomal RNA
Rfam family: Bacterial small subunit ribosomal RNA
Source: RNAcentral
CAGCCGCCGCGGGAAAACGUAGGUGGCAAGCGUUGUCCGGAAUUAUUGGGCGUAAAGGGCUCGCAGGCGGUUUCUUAAGUCUGAUGUGAAAGCCCCCGGCUCAACCGGGGAGGGUCAUUGGAAACUGGGAAACUUGAGUGCAGAAGAGGAGAGUGGAAUUCCACGUGUAGCGGUGAAAUGCGUAGAGAUGUGGAGGAACACCAGUGGCGAAGGCGACUCUCUGGUCUGUAACUGACGCUGAGGAGCGAAAGCGUGGGGAGCGAACAGGAUUAGAUACCCGCGUAGUCCCUGUCUCUUAUAC